RNAcentral lists this ribosomal RNA (497 nucleotides) under uncultured bacterium. RNAcentral describes it as "partial 16S ribosomal RNA". It matches the Rfam family "Bacterial small subunit ribosomal RNA", at positions 28 to 507 of the family's 1533-position model. The record is from RNAcentral.
GAUGAACGCUGGCGGCGUGCCUAAUACAUGCAAGUCGAGCGAACGGACGAGAAGCUUGCUUCUCUGAUGUUAGCGGCGGACGGGUGAGUAACAUGUGGAUAACCUACCUAUAAGACUGGGAUAACCUCGGGAAACCGUAGCUAAUACCGGAUAAUAUUUUGCACCGCAUGGUUCAAAAGUGAAUGACGGUCUUGCUGUCACUUAUAGAUGGAUCCGCGCUGCAUUAGAUAGUUGGUAAGGUAACGGCUUACCAAGGCAACGAUGCAUAGCCGACCUGAGAGGGUGAUCGGCCACACUGGAGCUGGGACACGGUCCAGACUCCUACGGGAGGCAGCAGUAGGGAAUCUUCCGCAAUGGGCGAAAGCCUGACGGAGCAACGCCGCGUGAGUGAUGAAGGUCUUCGGAUCGUAAAACUCUGUUAUUAGGGAAGAACAUAUGUGUAAGUAACUGUGCACAUCUUGACGGUACCUAAUCAGAAAGCCACGGCUAACUACGUG